GUCCAGAGAGAGAGAAGCAUCAAAUGGCGGAGCUCAAAUAAAUGGUCAUCUCUACUGCCCUUGUGGUACAGUAAUAGUAACAGUAAAGUAAUAGUAGCAGUAACUACUAUAUAGAUGAUUUCUCUUUUUUAUCCCUUUUCUUGGCAUUUCUUCAACCCCUUGAAGGUGUAUCUUUCCUUUUUCUUGACGUCAUCUUUGAUCCAUCCUUUCUUCAUCAUUGUUUGCUGCUGUGCAUGCAGGAAGAGAGAAAAAAAAAUUAAAUAAAAAAGUUAAGAUUUAAGAAUAAGGAGAAGAGAGGAGAUUCCUAUAUAUGCUGUGAUAUUUUUAUGGGGACUGAACAGGGUCUGCAAAGAAAGAUUUCCGCAGUGGAGUGGUUUCCAUAUCUAGGAAUGGAAAUAGAAGAGGGAAAAUUGCCAAAUAGAAAAGAAAAAGAAAAAUUUCCUUUUGUCGUGCAUGGUGACAAUCUCUCUCUCUCUCCUUAUCGGAGAAGGGAUCAAGAAGGCCAA
This 506-nucleotide unclassified non-coding RNA is filed under the name Hevea brasiliensis (rubber tree). The record is from RNAcentral. Lineage: Eukaryota; Viridiplantae; Streptophyta; Magnoliopsida; Malpighiales; Euphorbiaceae.